RNAcentral lists this ribosomal RNA (238 nucleotides) under uncultured bacterium. Its description in RNAcentral is "partial 16S ribosomal RNA". It matches the Rfam family "Bacterial small subunit ribosomal RNA", at positions 100 to 334 of the family's 1533-position model. The record is from RNAcentral.
CGGAACGGGUGAGUAACGCGUGAGGAACCUGCCUCAAAGAGGGGGACAACAGUUGGAAACGACUGCUAAUACCGCAUAAGCCCACAGGUCGGCAUCGACCAGAGGGAAAAGGAGCAAUCCGCUUUGAGAUGGCCUCGCGUCCGAUUAGCUAGUUGGUGAGGUAAUGGCCCACCAAGGCAACGAUCGGUAGCCGGACUGAGAGGUUGAACGGCCACAUUGGGACUGAGACACGGCCCAG